This 239-nucleotide ribosomal RNA is filed under the name uncultured bacterium. Its description in RNAcentral is "partial small subunit ribosomal RNA". It matches the Rfam family "Bacterial small subunit ribosomal RNA", at positions 26 to 291 of the family's 1533-position model. The record is from RNAcentral.
AGAACGAACGCUGGCGGCAGGCUUAACACAUGCAAGUCGAACGCUCGUAGCAAUACGGGAGUGGCAGACGGGUGAGUAACACGUGGGAACAUACCCUUUGGUACGGAACAACUCGGGGAAACUCGAGCUAAUACCGUAUACGGCCGUGAGGCGAAAGAUUGAUCGCCGAAGGAUUGGCCCGCGUCCGAUUAGCUAGUUGGUGAGGUAAUGGCUCACCAAGGCGACGAUCGGUAGCUGGU